RNAcentral lists this ribosomal RNA (1119 nucleotides) under Triticum aestivum (bread wheat). Its description in RNAcentral is "partial small subunit ribosomal RNA". The record is from RNAcentral. Lineage: Eukaryota; Viridiplantae; Streptophyta; Magnoliopsida; Poales; Poaceae.
AUGGAUUUCCCCGUUUCUCCUGUUGACAAAUUGCCAAUCUUUCCAGAUGAGGCAUCUAGCGCGGCGGCGCUGCUCGAGAUGUGCGGGCGCGGUGCAGAACGCACCGGCGAGGGAUCUCGUGGGGCAGUCCUGUGCGGGGCAGCGCGGACCUCUGCUGAAAACACCGGUCGUUUUUUGGGCGAAGAAUCAAGUGUUGGCGGGGUUGGAGGACCUAUGCCCUAUUUCAGCGAGAGCGAAGGCGACAACGCAGAUGCAAUCCAGGAUGAGGAGCAGAAAGAGGCUGCAAUGGGAGAAAUUGGUGAAGACGACGAUGCUGCCACUGUUCAGUCCACUGGGAAGGUAGAUCCUCAGGCUCCAGGAUGGACAAAAAGGGUAAGAGUUGGGAAUCAGCCGUUGGAUAGAGUUUCAUGUCCUGAGAGAGUAGGGGCACUGGAGCAAACAAUCAGGGGAUAUGCUGAAAAGCUCGGGGAUCAUGUGCUUGAGCCAGUAAUUGGGAUGACAUUUGAUUCAUUGGGCGAGGCGUACGAUUUUUAUAAUUUGUAUUCUUGGGAAAAUGGCUUUGGCAUCAGAUACGCCAAAAGCAUGCUUAAUGCAGAGAAGACAAAGUGUAUGCAGGAAGUAGUAUGUGGAUGUGCCGGGAAACCAACUAGGGAGAAUAGCAGGUCCUGCCGGUGUGAGUGCCCCGCGAUGAUAAGAUUGUUGAGAACAUCAGACAAUGGCUGGUACAUAACAGAGCACAGACCAAGUCAUAAUCAUUCAAUGACGCAGACAUGCGGCGAGAAAGUGCAUUGGCUGUCACAUAAGCACAUAGACAUGUACACCAAGGAUUUGGUGAAGCAGCUAAGGCAGAAUAAUGUGAAUGUCACAAAGGUGUACAGCAUAAUUUCAAGUUUUUUCGGGGAUGCUGAGAAAGUUCCAUUUACUAAAAGAUCACUGCGAAACCUGUGCGGUAAGAUUAACAGAGAGCAAGCUGAGGAUGAUGUCAAGAAGACAAUUGAUGUCUUUGCUGAGAUAGCAGCUAAAGAUCAGGAAUUUGUUUUUAGAGUACAACCAGAUAACGGCUGUAGGAUUAAGAAUUUGAUGUGGGCUACAGGCAUCAGUAGAAACCAGUACAUGUAG